UAACCCUGGAACAUAGUGUCAACAUCCAUUUAGAUCAACAAUGUGGACAGUGAGAUGCCCACACAGAUGAGGCAGAAAGAUUCUUCAUAGUAUGAUUCAUAGUGUUUGUCCUCCACAUAGACUUGUCUCAGUUGUCUCAAUAUCCAGCGACCCAAAAUUGACCAUCUCAUCCCUAUAUGGACAAUUCAGCCCUGAGGGGGGAGCUGUCACAUCCUUCAAGAGCCGUGUGUGUGUGUGUGUGUGUGUGUGUGUGUGUGUGUGUGUGUGCGUGCGUGCAUGCGCGUGCGUGCGUGUGUGUGUUGUGUGCGUUCAUUGCCUUGCAAUGAAACCUACAAGUCAUGCAAUGCACUCCUUAUAGUUCAUGGCCCCUGUCCCACAGUUAUUACUUAAAAUAUAUUCUGCUAUCUCAGAAAGAGACUAGGACACAUUAACUGUUUAGAAAACGUAAAGAAACAAUAAUUGUCACUUGAACAGCAGCAUUCAUGUGUUCCCUUAUUUAUUGUCUCAAUAACCUGGGUUCAGAUCCAUUAAUCACUUUUAAUUUCAUAUGUACUUGUUCAACUGUGGCACUGAAACCCUUUCUACCCAUGUGGCAGAGAUAACUCAAACAUACAUGCUAAAGUUUGAAUCAAGUUUUAUUAACUACUGAUACUAUUUUCUUUGGAAUCAUGUUGUCAAGUGUUUCCUUUACAAAUGUGUUCUUUCAGUGCAGAAAAGUCAAUAUAAUAGCAUUUAAGGCAGAAACUCUGGGACAGAGUAGGCCUUAUAAAGCUGAAUUAAUUAGGAGGAAACUAAUUGUAUCUUAUAUGCAUUGUAUAAAGAAAAUGUGAAAAGAAAAA
Long non-coding RNA from Perca fluviatilis (European perch), 839 nucleotides. RefSeq lists it as uncharacterized. The transcript is spliced from 2 exons. The record is from RefSeq and is a predicted model, not a curated record. NCBI's taxonomy places the organism in Eukaryota, Metazoa, Chordata, Actinopteri, Perciformes, Percidae.